UACGUAGGGAGCGAGCGUUGUCCGGAUUCAUUGGGCGUAAAGAGUCUCGUAGGCGGCUUGAUUAGUCGGAUGUGAAACCUCCAGGCUCAACCUGGAGUCGCCAUCCGAUACUGUCAUGGCUAGGAGUCCGGUAGGGGCCCACGGAAUUCCUGGUGUAGCGGUGAAAUGCGCAGAUAUCAGGAGGAACACCGGUGGCGAAGGCGGUGGGCUGGGCCGGCACUGACGCUGAGGAGCGAAAGCGUGGGGAGCGAACAGG
This 256-nucleotide ribosomal RNA is filed under the name uncultured bacterium. RNAcentral describes it as "partial 16S ribosomal RNA". It matches the Rfam family "Bacterial small subunit ribosomal RNA", at positions 524 to 776 of the family's 1533-position model. The record is from RNAcentral.